UGGGCUAUGGUGUAAUGGUAGUCACACAAGAUUUUGAUUCUUGGAGUCCAGGUUCGAGUCCUGGUAGCCCAA
This 72-nucleotide transfer RNA is filed under the name Myoviridae sp. ctNQV2. RNAcentral describes it as "tRNA-Gln". It matches the Rfam family "tRNA". Rfam says of the family: Transfer RNA (tRNA) molecules are approximately 80 nucleotides in length. The record is from RNAcentral. Lineage: Duplodnaviria; Heunggongvirae; Uroviricota; Caudoviricetes.